CUGCCUCAGGGGUCCAGGGCUGGGAUCCCAAGCCUGAGCAGUAAUCCUUGCUCCCAGCUCUACUCCUUUGGUGUUCUAGGGUCUAAUCCCAGCUGGGCCCAAGCAGGAUUCAUUUGCCCUUUGGUUGUUUCCUCACAACCAGCUGCUGAUUCCAGCACAGGCUGAGUCCGUGGCAAGGGCAGGAAUAUCCAUCCCCUGGAGAGUGCCUGGGCAUCCCUAGGGCUUCUGGGGCACUGGAAUCUCCUCCAGCAGCCACCAGCACACAGGAACAAGCUGUUCCUUUCCCAGCUCAUCCCAGUGGCACGCACACCAUUUCCUUCCCUUUAUCAGAGGAAUUUGGAAAUAGCCCUUUCCAGUGAGCCCUUUCUCACUGAAUGGUGCUUUGAGUGUUACAAAGUUGAUAAAAGGCCACAGAAAAGGAGGUCCAAGAAGAGAGUUCUGCUCCAAAGGAAGAGUUUUGCUCUAAGAGAAAAGGCCCCUCCAAGAGGAGGUCUCUGCUCUCCAGCAGUGUCUCCGUGUCCCCCUGUGUUGGCUGGGGACAGUUUUUGGUCUCAGAGUCCUGGGCAGUGCUAAGGGGAAAAAAUCCGAAAAUAUUUAAGGGAAGAAAAACUAAGUAGAGAGCAAUUCGGGAAAACCUGGCUGUGUCAGGCUGUUCCUCCCCGUGCCCCUGGAGCUGUGCCAAGGAGUGGCAGGGGGGUGGUGGCAGCAGUGACAGUGACAAGCUGGGCAGCUGCAGAGCGAGGAGGAGCAGCGGGAUCGCCCUGAGAGCGCCAUGAGGGGUUUCCAGAGGGGCUCCCAGCUCCUGGCAGCGGCACUCCGGAUCAGCCGGGCACCCCGGGCACAGCUCCGCUCCCACCCCGCCGAGCACCCGCUCUCUCCCGGUGAACAAGCCGUGGCCUUCACCCUGAUGUUCUCGUCCUUCCUGCUGCCCACAGCCUGGGUCCUGAGCAACAUCUACAACUACAGGAGCAGGCCCGAGUGAGGAGUGGCAGGAGCAGCCUGAUCCCUGCUGAGAGCAUCCCGAGGGAAGAGGCCACGGGACAGAGCCUCGCCGGGAUGGAACCCCCUGAACCUGCUCAUUAAAAUCCACCUUUGCAUUCAACAA
Molecule: long non-coding RNA, 1105 nt
Organism: Haemorhous mexicanus (house finch)
Lineage: Eukaryota; Metazoa; Chordata; Aves; Passeriformes; Fringillidae
Exons: 2
Source: RefSeq, a predicted model, not a curated record